Molecule: long non-coding RNA, 375 nt
Filed under: Homo sapiens (human)
Lineage: Eukaryota; Metazoa; Chordata; Mammalia; Primates; Hominidae
Description: non-protein coding lnc-SGK1-3:12
Source: RNAcentral
AGAGCUCCAGUUGUGUCUUGUAAGAAUUGGUCAUUGUUUCAUGGGGACGACUGGCUCCUUUGGGUGGGAUCUGAUGGCAUCUCAUGGAGUUGAGGUUGUCUGCCAACGCUAACUGGCCAGCUCUGACAGGAGGUGCGUGGCCCAGGAGGAGCCAUCAGGCCAGUUCUCUGGGAUACUGCUGUGUCUCCAGCUCUGCAGUUUGCUCUUCGUCACUCAGCGGCAGACGGAGAGGCAGACACGAGCCCCUUGUGAGCCCUCCUCCUUACCGUCAUCUCACAAUGCUCUGAAAUAAGGAGGCAAAUGGCUGAGGUCCCCUCAGUUAAUAACUGGAUUACAAAAGGCAAGUCAUGUUGUCAACAGCCCGAGAUAUGUGAG